CAAUUGAACGAAAUGUGCUCC
Molecule: non-coding RNA, 21 nt
Filed under: Rattus norvegicus (Norway rat)
Lineage: Eukaryota; Metazoa; Chordata; Mammalia; Rodentia; Muridae
Source: RNAcentral